This 665-nucleotide ribosomal RNA is filed under the name uncultured bacterium. Its description in RNAcentral is "bacterial SSU rRNA". It matches the Rfam family "Bacterial small subunit ribosomal RNA", at positions 8 to 719 of the family's 1533-position model. The record is from RNAcentral.
AGAGUUUGAUCCUGGCUCAGGACGAACGCUGGCGGCAGGCUUAACACAUGCAAGUCGAACGCUCUCUUCGGAGGGAGUGGCGCACGGGUGAGUAACACGUGGGAACCUACCCUGAGGUACGGAAUAACCAUUGGAAACGAUGGCUAAUACCGUAUGUCCCCUGCGGGGGAAAGAUUUAUCGCCUUGGGAUGGGCCCGCGGUCGAUUAGCUAGUUGGUGUGGUAAUGGCGCACCAAGGCGACGAUCGAUAGCUGGUCUGAGAGGAUGAUCAGCCACACUGGGACUGAGACACGACCCAGACUCCUACGGGAGGCAGCAGUGGGGAAUAUUGGACAAUGGGCGCAAGCCUGAUCCAGCCAUGCCGCGUGAGUGAUGAAGGCCUUCGGGUUGUAAAGCUCUUUCAGGUGGGACGAUGAUGACGGUACCACCAGAAGAAGCCCCGGCUAACUUCGUGCCAGCAGCCGCGGUAAUACGAAGGGGGCUAGCGUUGUUCGGAAUCACUGGGCGUAAAGCGCGCGUAGGCGGUCCUGCCAGUCAGGGGUGAAAGCCCAGGGCUCAACCCUGGAACGGCCUUUGAUACUGCGGGACUUGAGUUCGGGAGAGGGGCAUGGAAUUCCCAGUGUAGAGGUGAAAUUCGUAGAUAUUGGGAAGAACACCAGUGGCGAA